This 476-nucleotide ribosomal RNA is filed under the name uncultured bacterium. Its description in RNAcentral is "SSU rRNA". It matches the Rfam family "Bacterial small subunit ribosomal RNA", at positions 26 to 518 of the family's 1533-position model. The record is from RNAcentral.
AGGACGAACGCUGGCGGCGUGCUUAACACAUGCAAGUCGAACGGAAAGGCCCUUUCGGGGGUACUCGAGUGGCGAACGGGUGAGUAACACGUGGGUGAUCUGCCCCUAGCUCUGGGAUAGCUCCGGGAAACCGGGAUUAAUACCGGAUAUGACCACUUUAGACAUCUGCUGUUGUGGAAAGAAUUUCGGCUAGGGAUGAGCUCGCGGCCUAUCAGCUUGUUGGUGGGGUAACGGCCUACCAAGGCGACGACGGGUAGCCGGCCUGAGAGGGCGACCGGCCACACUGGGACUGAGACACGGCCCAGACUCCUACGGGAGGCAGCAGUGGGGAAUAUUGCGCAAUGGGCGAAAGCCUGACGCAGCGACGCCGCGUGGGGGAUGAAGGCCUUCGGGUUGUAAACCCCUUUCAGCAGGGACGAAGCGAAAGUGACGGUACCUGCAGAAGAAGCGCCGGCUAACUACGUGCCAGCAGCCGC